Molecule: long non-coding RNA, 207 nt
Filed under: Setaria italica (foxtail millet)
Lineage: Eukaryota; Viridiplantae; Streptophyta; Magnoliopsida; Poales; Poaceae
Description: long non-coding RNA (SITA_LNC003705)
Source: RNAcentral
AUAAGAAAAAGAAAGACUUAGAAAAAUUCUAUGGUAUCUAAAUGACAAUAAAAAUCAAGAGAUAGUCUUAUUCUAAGGCUUACAAACGAUGAUAUUGAAGCCGAGACAGACAUAAAGCGAAUUCUGCUUGAAAGGUGGACCAGCUCAUUCCACCGAUUCAGACGGUGAUGACUAUCAAAGUCACUGAAUCAGUCGGUGACCUUAAGG